This 266-nucleotide long non-coding RNA is filed under the name Elaeis guineensis (African oil palm). RNAcentral's name for it is "long non-coding RNA (EGUI_LNC005206)". Lineage: Eukaryota; Viridiplantae; Streptophyta; Magnoliopsida; Arecales; Arecaceae. The record is from RNAcentral.
UCAGUAAGGAAGGCAGGGCUGCAGGCGUGCUGGAAAACUAUGCUGAGGGAGAAAAGUAUGCAGAGCAUGGUCUCAGGAAAUUCCUUCGCACAAGGGCCCCUGAAAUCAUGCCAUCUAUUAAUAGAUUCUUUGCCAAUCCGAAAUAAAGCAUGUGCAUCUGAGCUACCUGAAUUUUCAUGAACCUCCUCUUUCUGUUCUACUUGCUGAAUUGGUGAAGAACUUUAUAUAGCUUUGAGAUUGUCAUGCAAUUGACUGUUGUUUCACUU